GGGGAUGUAGCUCAGCUGGGAGAGCGCCUGCAUGGCAUGCAGGAGGUCGACGGUUCGAUCCCGUUCAUCUCCACCA
RNAcentral lists this transfer RNA (76 nucleotides) under Alphaproteobacteria bacterium. Its description in RNAcentral is "tRNA-Ala". It matches the Rfam family "tRNA". From Rfam's summary of the family: Transfer RNA (tRNA) molecules are approximately 80 nucleotides in length. Their secondary structure includes four short double-helical elements and three loops (D, anti-codon, and T loops). Further hydrogen bonds mediate the characteristic L-shaped molecular structure. tRNAs have two regions of fundamental functional importance: the anti-codon, which is responsible for specific mRNA codon recognition, and the 3' end, to which the tRNAs corresponding amino acid is attached (by aminoacyl-tRNA synthetases). tRNAs cope with the degeneracy of the genetic code in two manners: having more than one tRNA (with a specific anti-codon) for a particular amino acid; and 'wobble' base-pairing, i.e. permitting non-standard base-pairing at the 3rd anti-codon position. RNAcentral also lists the same sequence under 1 other name. The record is from RNAcentral. Lineage: Bacteria; Pseudomonadati; Pseudomonadota; Alphaproteobacteria.